This 737-nucleotide ribosomal RNA is filed under the name uncultured archaeon. RNAcentral's name for it is "bacterial SSU rRNA". It matches the Rfam family "Archaeal small subunit ribosomal RNA", at positions 53 to 795 of the family's 1478-position model. The record is from RNAcentral.
GCGAGUCGAGAGGGUUCGGCCCUCGGCAGACUGCUCAGUAACACGUGGAUAACCUACCCUUAGGUGGAGGAUAAUCUCGGGAAACUGAGAAUAAUACUCCAUAGAUCUAGGAUGCUGGAAUGCACCUAGAUUGAAAGCUCUGGCGCCUAAGGAUGGGUCUGCGGACUAUCAGGUUGUAGUCAGGGUAAAGACCUGACUAGCCUACGACGGAUAUGGGUUGUGAGAGCAAUAGCCCAGAGACGAUAUCUGAGACACGAUAUCGGGCCCUACGGGGCGCAGCAGGCGCGAAAUCUUCACAAUGUGCGAAAGCACGAUGAGGGGAUCCCAAGUGCUGGCACGUAAGUGUCAGCUGUUUCUUUGUCUAAAAAACAAAGAGAGUAAGAGCUGGGUAAGACGGGUGCCAGCCGCCGCGGUAAUACCUGCAGCUCAAGUGGUGGCCGCUAUUAUUGGGCCUAAAACGUCCGUAGCCGGUUUAGUAAAUGCUUGGGUAAAUUGUGUAGCUUAACUAUACGAAUACCGGGUAGACUGCUAAACUUGGGACCGGGAGAGGCUAGAGGUACUCCUAGGGUAGAGGUGAAAUUCUGUAAUCCUAGGGGGACCACCAGUGGCGAAGGCGUCUAGCUAGAACGGGUCUGACGGUGAGGGACGAAGCCCUGGGGCGCAAACCGGAUUAGAUACCCGGGUAGUCCAGGGUGUAAACGCUGCUUGCUUGAUGUUAGUUGGGCUCCGAGCCCAAC